RNAcentral lists this ribosomal RNA (400 nucleotides) under uncultured bacterium. RNAcentral's name for it is "bacterial SSU rRNA". It matches the Rfam family "Bacterial small subunit ribosomal RNA", at positions 355 to 747 of the family's 1533-position model. The record is from RNAcentral.
UUAGGAAUAUUCGGCAAUGGGGGAAACCCUGACCGAGCAAUGCCGCGUGAGCGAUGAAGGCCCUUUGGGUCGUAAAGCUCUGUUGUAGAGAAAGAACAUCCACUAUAGGAAAUGAUAGUGGUUUGACGGUACUCUGCCAGAAAGCCCCGGCUAACUACGUGCCAGCAGCCGCGGUAAUACGUAGGGGGCGAGCGUUAUCCGGAUUUAUUGGGCGUAAAGCGUGUGUAGGCGGUUUAUUAAGUUUAAGAUUAAAGCCCGAGGCUCAACCUCGGUUCGUCUUAAAAACUGGUAGGCUUGAGUGUGGUAGAGGCAAGUGGAAUUUCUAGUGUAGCGGUUAAAUGCGUAGAUAUUAGAAGGAACACCAGUGGCGAAGGCGACUUGCUGGGCCAUUACUGACGCU